AGAGUUUGAUCCUGGCUCAGAACGAACGCUGGCGGCGUGCCUAACACAUGCAAGUCGAGCGAGAAAGCCCGCAAGGGUGAGUAAAGCGGCGCACGGGUGCGUAACACGUGAGUAAUCUGCCCUGAAGUCCGGAAUAACUCGCCGAAAGGCGUGCUAAUGCCGGAUGAGACCACGGGAGCCUCGGCUCCUGCGGGAAAAGGUGGCCUCUGUACACAAGCUAUCGCUUCAGGAUGAGCUCGCGGCCCAUCAGCUCGUUGGCGGGGUAAUGGCCCACCAAGGCUACGACGGGUAGCUGGUCUGAGAGGACGAUCAGCCACACUGGAACUGAGACACGGUCCAGACUCCUACGGGAGGCAGCAGUGGGGAAUCUUGCGCAAUGGGCGAAAGCCUGACGCAGCAACGCCGCGUGUGUGAUGAAGGUCUUCGGAUCGUAAAGCACUGUCGCGAGGGACGAAUAAGGGGCGGGCUAACAUCCCGUUCCGAUGACGGUACCUCGAGAGGAAGCACCGGCUAACUCUGUGCCAGCAGCCGCGGUAAUACAGAGGGUGCAAGCGUUGUUCGGAAUUAUUGGGCGUAAAGCGCGUGUAGGCGGCUUUGUAAGUUGGGUGUGAAAGCCCUCGGCUUAACCGAGGAAGUGCGCCCAAAACUGCAUGGCUUGAGUACCGGAGAGGGUGGCGGAAUUCCCGGUGUAGAGGUGAAAUUCGUAGAUAUCGGGAGGAACACCAGCGGCGAAGGCGGCCACCUGGACGGAUACUGACGCUGAGACGCGAAAGCGUGGGGAGCAAACAGGAUUAGAUACCCUGGUAGUCCACGCCGUAAACGAUGAGCGCUAGGUGUUGUGGGUGUUGACCCCCGCAGUGCCGCAGCUAACGCAUUAAGCGCUCCGCCUGGGAAGUACGGCCGCAAGGCUAAAACUCAAAGGAAUUGACGG
This 931-nucleotide ribosomal RNA is filed under the name uncultured Myxococcales bacterium. RNAcentral's name for it is "bacterial SSU rRNA". It matches the Rfam family "Bacterial small subunit ribosomal RNA", at positions 8 to 916 of the family's 1533-position model. Lineage: Bacteria; Pseudomonadati; Myxococcota; Myxococcia; Myxococcales. The record is from RNAcentral.